AUAUGAAACGUGUCAAUCUAAUUUCCGAAUAUAUUAUAAUAUGCUGUGUUUUAAAUAAUAUUUGUUUAUUUAAAGAUGAUGAGUUCCUGAUCUACAUGAUACACCACCUGUAGAUGAAAAUGUACAAGAUCGUGGAGAGUUGGUUGCAAUUAAUUGUCAAGGAGCAAUUAAGAGGGAUGAUAUUUGUGAUCUAAUCUGAUACUACCUCUUCGACAUUUAUAGACAUAUCGUCUCAGCAAGCGAUCUGACGUCUGGACUUAGUAAAAGAACUCAAACUAAAGUGGAAAAAAAUCAAGGAGAAUAACCGAAAAAAGUGUAUACAUAAAUCCGGCAAGGCAGCAAAAUCAGACAAACCAUAUGUAUAUGCAAACAUUUUAGAGUUCCUUCGACUGACAAUGGAAACAGAAACACUGAGAGUAACAUAGCGGCACAAAACGACAGAGAGUACACCACAGACAAUGAAAACGUUAUAACCAAAGAGACUAACCACUCGAGCGUAUCUGAAGAAGAGUCUCCAGCUGUUCGAAGAAAAAUAAGUCUGCCAAAAAUUCUUUUGAAAACCAAUUAAUAAGUGUAUUAAAAGAACGCAGAGUUUCGAUGAUCAUUUCUGAUGUCUUUGGCUCCACAAAUCAGAAAAAUCACAGAAGACCAGCAAAAUCAAGUUUAUAUUGAAAUGAUACAAAUAAUUCAAAAAGUAAAAAAUUCUGAUCAAAUUCAACCACAAUCCAUUCUUUCUUCAGUGAACAAUAGUACUUUUCAACCCUUGCAAUAUUCAUGUAAUAAUAAUACUAACUCAUACCUGACAUACCCGUUCAUUUUCCAUCUACCAACAACUUCAUACAUUUCAAACACCUCACCAACACCUACAAAUACAAAUGCCCAUAAACUAUGAACCUCGAACCUCAUUAUAUAACUGGGAACAAUUCUUCAUUUGUGUCAAUUACUUCUCGAAAAAAUUCUAACAUUCACAGACAUCAACUAUAUUACCCACAUACCCAAUCAUCUGCUCUUACUCAACAACCACCCGUUACACCAAAUCAUACUGCAACUGUUAACUCUUAAUAUUCACAAAAAACUACCCUCACACUCCAUCUUUUACUACAUCUGUACCAACAGGUCACUCUGACAAUAGUUACUACACUAAAAACUUAACUCAUUAUAACACAGAUAAUACUAAUUUACA
Acyrthosiphon pisum (pea aphid) is the source of this 1183-nucleotide long non-coding RNA. RefSeq lists it as uncharacterized. The record is from RefSeq and is a predicted model, not a curated record. Lineage: Eukaryota; Metazoa; Arthropoda; Insecta; Hemiptera; Aphididae. The transcript has 3 exons.